GCCCGGGUGGCUCAGUGGUAGAGCGUUUCCUUGGUAAGGAAGAGGUCGGCAGUUCGAUCCUGCUCUCGGGCU
This 72-nucleotide transfer RNA is filed under the name SAR324 cluster bacterium. RNAcentral describes it as "tRNA-Thr". It matches the Rfam family "tRNA". Rfam says of the family: Transfer RNA (tRNA) molecules are approximately 80 nucleotides in length. The record is from RNAcentral. Lineage: Bacteria; Deltaproteobacteria.